RNAcentral lists this ribosomal RNA (499 nucleotides) under uncultured bacterium. RNAcentral's name for it is "partial 16S ribosomal RNA". It matches the Rfam family "Bacterial small subunit ribosomal RNA", at positions 30 to 523 of the family's 1533-position model. The record is from RNAcentral.
AUUGAACGCUGGCGGCAUGCUUUACACAUGCAAGUCGAACGGUAACAGGGUGCUUGCACCGCUGACGAGUGGCGAACGGGUGAGUAAUGCGUCGGAACGUGCCGAGUAGUGGGGGAUAACGCAGCGAAAGUUGUGCUAAUACCGCAUACGUACUGAGGUAGAAAGUGGGGACCUUCGGGCCUCACGCUAUUCGAGCGGCCGACGUCUGAUUAGCCAGUAGGUGAGGUAAAGGCUCACCUAGGCGACGAUCAGUAGCGGGUCUGAGAGGAUGAUCCGCCACACUGGGACGGAGACACGGCCCAGACUCCUACGGGAGGCAGCAGUGGGGAAUUUUGGACAAUGGGCGAAAGCCUGAUCCAGCCAUGCCGCGUGUCUGAAGAAGGCCUUCGGGUUGUAAAGGACUUUUGUCAGGGAGGAAAUCCCUAGUGCUAAUAACACUGGGGGAUGACAGUACCUGAAGAAUAAGCACCGGCUAACUACGUGCCAGCCGCCGCGGUAA